GAUGAAGAACGCAGCGAAAUGCGAUACGUAAUGUGAAUUGCAGAAUUCAGUGAAUCAUCGAAUCUUUGAACGCAUAUUACGCUCUCUGGUAUUCCGGAGAGCAUGCUUGUUUGAGUAUCAGUAAACACCUCAACUCCCUUUUCUUUUUUGAAAUGGGAGCUGGACUUGAGUGAUCCCAACACUUUUCUCACUGGAAAGUGGCGGGUCACUUGAAAUGCAGGUGCAGCUGGACUUUUCUCUGAGCUAUAAGCAUAUCUAUUUAGUCUGCCUAAAAAACAGAUUAUUACCUUUGCUGCAGCUAACAUAAAGGAGAUGAGUUCUUGUGCUGACUGAUGCAGGAUUCACAGAGACAGCUUUGCGGCUGACUUUGUAAACUCGAUCUCAAAUCAAGUAAGACUACCCGCUGAACUUAAGCAUAUCAAUAAGCGGAGGA
This 433-nucleotide unclassified non-coding RNA is filed under the name soil metagenome. Its description in RNAcentral is "partial contains 5.8S ribosomal RNA, internal transcribed spacer 2, and large subunit ribosomal RNA". The stretch from base 1 to 120 matches the Rfam family "5.8S ribosomal RNA", at positions 35 to 154 of the family's 154-position model. The record is from RNAcentral.